GACGAACGCUGGCGGCGUGCUUAACACAUGCAAGUCGAACGGAAAGGCCCUGCUUUUGUGGGGUGCUCGAGUGGCGAACGGGUGUGUAACACGUGAGUAACCUGCCCUUGACUUUGGGAUAACUUCAGGAAACUGGGGAUAAUACCGGAUAGGAGCUCUUGCUGCAUGGUGGGGGUUGGAAAGUUUCGGCGGUGGGGGAUGGACUCGCGGCCUAUGAGCCUGUUGGUGGGGUAGUGGCUUACCAAGGCUUUGACGGGUAGCCGGCCGGAGCGGGUGAACGGCCACACUGGGACUGAGAUUCGGCGCAGACGCCUACGGGAGGCAGGAGUGGGGAGUGUUGCACAGUGGGCGGAAGGCUGAUGCAGGAACGGCGCGUGCGGGAUGGCGGCCUUCGGGUUGUAAACCGCUUGCGCCUGUGUCGAGGCGUGAGUGACGGUAAUGGGUAAAGAGGCACGGGCUAACUAGGU
This 467-nucleotide ribosomal RNA is filed under the name uncultured bacterium. RNAcentral's name for it is "partial 16S ribosomal RNA". It matches the Rfam family "Bacterial small subunit ribosomal RNA", at positions 28 to 506 of the family's 1533-position model. The record is from RNAcentral.